AUUGAACGCUAGCGGGAUGCUUUACACAUGCAAGUCGAACGGCAGCGCGGACUUCGGUCUGGCGGCGAGUGGCGAACGGGUGAGUAAUGUAUCGGAACGUGCCCAGUAGCGUGUGAUAACUACGCGAAAGCGUAGCUAAUACCGCAUACGCCCUACGGGGGAAAGCAGGGGAUCGUAAGACCUUGCACUAUUGCAGCGGCCGAUAUCGGAUUAGCUAGUUGGUGAGGUAACGGCGCACCAAGGCGACGAUCCGUAGCUGGUUUGAGAGGACGACCAGCCACACUGGGACUGAGACACGGCCCAGACUCCUACGGGAGGCAGCAGUGGGGAAUUUUGGACAAUGGGGGCAACCCUGAUCCAGCCAUACCGCGUGUGCGAUGAAGGCCUUCGGGUUGUAAAGCACUUUUGGCAGGAAAGAAACGUCGCGGGCUAAUACCCCGUGGAACUGACGGUACCUGCAGAAUAAGCACCGGCUAACUACGUG
This 484-nucleotide ribosomal RNA is filed under the name uncultured bacterium. Its description in RNAcentral is "partial 16S ribosomal RNA". It matches the Rfam family "Bacterial small subunit ribosomal RNA", at positions 30 to 507 of the family's 1533-position model. The record is from RNAcentral.